UACGAAGGGGGCUAGCGUUGUUCGGAAUCACUGGGCGUAAAGCGCACGUAGGCGGAUCUUUAAGUCAGGGGUGAAAUCCCGAGGCUCAACCUCGGAACUGCCUUUGAUACUGGGGAUCUCGAGUCCGGGAGAGGUGAGUGGAACUGCGAGUGUAGAGGUGAAAUUCGUAGAUAUUCGCAAGAACACCAGUGGUGAAGGCGGCUCACUGGCCCGGUACUGACGCUGAGGUGCGAAAGCGUGGGGAGCAAACAGG
Molecule: ribosomal RNA, 253 nt
Filed under: uncultured bacterium
Lineage: Bacteria
Description: partial 16S ribosomal RNA
Rfam family: Bacterial small subunit ribosomal RNA
Source: RNAcentral